This 495-nucleotide ribosomal RNA is filed under the name uncultured bacterium. RNAcentral describes it as "bacterial SSU rRNA". It matches the Rfam family "Bacterial small subunit ribosomal RNA", at positions 36 to 518 of the family's 1533-position model. The record is from RNAcentral.
CUGGCGGCGUGCUUAACACAUGCAAGUCGAACGGAGUACUCUCCCGAGACUGAGGAAGCUUGCUUCCAAAGAAUCAUUUGAAGUACUUAGUGGCGGACGGGUGAGUAACGCGUGGGUAACCUGCCUCACACUGGGGGAUAGCAGUUGGAAACGACUGAUAAUACCGCAUAAGCGCACAGUAUCGCAUGAUACAGUGUGAAAAACUCCGGUGGUGUGAGAUGGACCCGCGUCUGAUUAGCCAGUUGGCGGGGUAACGGCCCACCAAAGCUACGAUCAGUAGCCGGCCUGAGAGGGUGUACGGCCACAUUGGGACUGAGACACGGCCCAAACUCCUACGGGAGGCAGCAGUGGGGAAUAUUGCACAAUGGGGGAAACCCUGAUGCAGCCGACGCCGCGUGAGUGAUGAAGUAUUUCGGUAUGUAAAACUCUAUCAGCAGGGAAGAUAAUGACGGUACCUGACUAAGAAGCACCGGCUAAAUACGUGCCAGCCGCGGC